RNAcentral lists this ribosomal RNA (1398 nucleotides) under uncultured bacterium. Its description in RNAcentral is "partial 16S ribosomal RNA". It matches the Rfam family "Bacterial small subunit ribosomal RNA". The record is from RNAcentral.
UUAGAGUUUGAUCCUGGCUCAGGAUGAACGCUAGCGGCAGGCUUAACACAUGCAAGUCGCGGGGCAGCGGGAGUAGCAAUACUCGCCGGCGACCGGCGGAAGGGUGCGUAACGCGUGAGCAACAUGCCCGUAUCAGGGAGAUAACCGAUGGAAACGUCGCCUAAUAUCCCAUAACAACAGGUUCCGCAUGCUACCUGUUUGAAAGUUGAGGCGGAUACGGAUUGGCUCGCGUGACAUUAGCUAGUUGGAGUGGUAACGGCACACCAAGGCGACGAUGUCUAGGGGUUCUGAGAGGAAGGUCCCCCACACUGGAACUGAGACACGGUCCAGACUCCUACGGGAGGCAGCAGUGAGGAAUAUUGGUCAAUGGACGCAAGUCUGAACCAGCCAUGCCGCGUGCAGGAAUGAGGCCCUAUGGGUCGUAAACUGCUUUUGUGGUGGAGCAAUAAGCGUCACGUGUGGCGCGAUGAGAGUACAUCACGAAUAAGCAUCGGCUAACUCCGUGCCAGCAGCCGCGGUAAUACGGAGGAUGCGAGCGUUAUCCGGAUUUAUUGGGUUUAAAGGGUGCGCAGGCGGCGCGUCAAGUCAGCGGUCAAAAUGCGGCGCUCAACGCCGUACCGCCGUUGAAACUGGCGAGCUCGAGUGCGUGCGAGGGAGGCGGAAUGCGCAGUGUAGCGGUGAAAUGCAUAGAUAUUGCGCAGAACUCCGAUUGCGAAGGCAGCUUUCCAGCACGCCACUGACGCUCAUGCACGAAAGCGUGGGUAUCGAACAGGAUUAGAUACCCUGGUAGUCCACGCGGUAAACGAUGAUAACUAGUUAUUCGCCAAAAUUGAUUGGUGAGUGACCGAGCGAAAGCGUUAAGUUAUCCACCUGGGGAGUACGCCGGCAACGGUGAAACUCAAAGGAAUUGACGGGGACCCGCACAAGCGGUGGAGCAUGUGGUUUAAUUCGAAGCAACGCGAAGAACCUUACCAAAUCUUGACAUCCCGGUGACCAUCUGUGUAAUGCAGACUCUCUUCGGAGCACCGGUGACAGGUGGUGCAUGGUUGUCGUCAGCUCGUGUCGUGAGAUGUUGGGUUAAGUCCCGCAACGAGCGCAACCCCUGUCCUUAGUAGCCAGCAGUUCGGCUGGGCACUCUAGGGAGACUGCCGGGGAUAACCCGGAGGAAGGUGGGGAUGACGUCAAAUCAUCAUGCCCCUUAUGAUUUGGGCUACACACGUGCUACAAUGGCGUAAACAAAGAGAAGCGAUCCUGUGAGGGGGAGCAAAUCUCAAGAAUAACGUCUCAGUUCGGAUUAUAGUCUGCAACUCGACUACAUGAAGCUGGAAUCGCUAGUAAUCGCGAAUCAGAAUGUCGCGGUGAAUACGUUCCCGGGUCUUGUACACACCGCCCGUCAAG